AAUGACUCUCGGCAACGGAUAUCUCGGCUCUUGCAUCGAUGAAGAACGUAGCGAAAUGCGAUACUUGGUGUGAAUUGCAGAAUCCCGCGAACCAUCAAUUCUUUGAACGCAAGUUGCGCCCGAAGCCAUUCGGCCGAGGGCACGCCUGCCUGGGCGUCG
Molecule: ribosomal RNA, 159 nt
Filed under: Heterotis rotundifolia
Lineage: Eukaryota; Viridiplantae; Streptophyta; Magnoliopsida; Myrtales; Melastomataceae
Description: 5.8S ribosomal RNA
Rfam family: 5.8S ribosomal RNA
About the family: 5.8S ribosomal RNA (5.8S rRNA) is a component of the large subunit of the eukaryotic ribosome.
Source: RNAcentral